This 27-nucleotide non-coding RNA is filed under the name Cricetulus griseus (Chinese hamster). The record is from RNAcentral. Lineage: Eukaryota; Metazoa; Chordata; Mammalia; Rodentia; Cricetidae.
CACAGAUGAUGGUUGUAUCUGAUGUGG